Molecule: small RNA, 397 nt
Filed under: Pan troglodytes (chimpanzee)
Lineage: Eukaryota; Metazoa; Chordata; Mammalia; Primates; Hominidae
Description: retained intron
Source: RNAcentral
GUGUGUGGACGCAGAUGGCGGCGGCGCAGGGCGCCUGAGCGGGCCGGGGCCAUGAGCGCCGCCCGGCCCCAGUUCAGCAUUGAUGAUGCCUUCGAGCUGUCCCUGGAGGACGGGGGCCCUGGGCCCGAGUCCAGCGGGGUCGCGCGCUUUGGGCCGCUGCACUUCGAGCGUCGGGCCCGGUUCGAGGUGGCUGACGAGGACAAGCAGUCCCGGCUGCGCUACCAGAACCUGGAGAACGAUGAGGAUGGAGCCCAGGCCUCUCCGGAGCCGGAUGGGGGAGUCGGCACCAGGGAUUCCAGCCGAACUUCCAUCCGCAGCUCCCAGUGGUCCUUCAGCACCAUCAGCAGCAGCACCCAGCGCUCCUACAACACCUGCUGCAGGUGAGCCUGCCCGCCUG